RNAcentral lists this long non-coding RNA (3426 nucleotides) under Actinidia chinensis (golden kiwifruit). RNAcentral's name for it is "long non-coding RNA (ACHI_LNC007268)". Lineage: Eukaryota; Viridiplantae; Streptophyta; Magnoliopsida; Ericales; Actinidiaceae. The record is from RNAcentral.
UAAGGCUAUGUCCUAGAGUAGAGAAGGGAAGUGGGUCACAGAGAUGUAAGGGACUAGGGGCUAUGUAGCUCUCUGUGAGAGGUGUGAGCGAGAGAUUUAGCUGAGAGAUUGAGAGCUCUCUCCUUUGUUGUUCCUCUCUCUCUAUUUUCUGUAUUUCCUCUUGUAGUAUAUGAGAUAAAUCUGAGAGUGAGAGUGAAACUUUGUAUCUGUAUUUGUAUCUCUCCAUACAGUAAAAUCGCUGCCACCCGAGGACAUAGGCAAUAUUGUCGAAUCUCGUAAAUCUAUGUGUUUGUAUUACGUGGUUGUGGAUUUGUUAGUGUGGGUGAUUUGUGUAUGCUAUAGGUGGUUGAUUUCGGCAUAACAAUUGGUAUCAGAGCCCAGGUCGAGUUUUGGACCUCUGUAAAAGUGCUUGAAAUUAAUUUUUGAUAGCACCAAAAUGUUCGUCUCCUCGAGACAAAACUCCAGCAUCAAAUCGCGUCAAAAACGAACGUCGGACGCUCCCCCACGCUCUGCCUGAAGAUCGGCGGGUGAGAUCUACUCUCAGGCGCGCAACUCAUGCGCCUGCACGCGCCCAAAGUUGAGGAAGAAAACUGUGUCUCAUCGCCUGCGUCAUCACUAUGUCAUGAUUACAUUAGCAAAAGAAUAUUCCUAGAAUAUUCUCUAGUAAAUUAUAGUUUUUGUCCCUGAAGUUUCUAUAAUUUAUAUUUCAGUCCCUAAAGUUUUAAAAAUUACAAUUUGACUCCUAAAAUUUUUAAAAAUUACAGUUUAGUCUCUAUAAUUUCUAAAAAUUGUAUUUUGGUCCCUGGAAUUACCAAAAAUUACAGUUUAGUCCCUGCAGUUUUUGAAUUUUGACAAAUUGGUCCCUAGGAUUUCUGAUUUUGACAAAUUGGCCUCACAAGUUUCUGAUUUUUUCAGUUUAGCCCAUUUUUAAGUUUUUCCUGCAUUCCGCACUCAUUUGUGUGGUCAAAAUUUGCAUACUUUGACUCUGUAUAUCAGUUUGGGUGGAGUAAAGUGUUUAGAUGGAAGAAUAUAAAACCACUAGCACUUUCGGUAGCUCUGGGCAUAGGACUAUGGUGUCUAAAGCCAAUUUUGAAAUGAAAAAAUUUAACGGGACAAAUAACUUCGGCAUGUGGUAAUGGGAAUUUUUGGAUGUCCUAAUUUAACAAGACUUGGAUCACUUUGGAGAACGCUCACUAGGAGGAAUCUCAAGUUUUGGCUAUUGCAUCUGUGGAAGGCACUCAGAAUAUGAAUCUUAAUUCUGUCUAUAGCAUUUGUGCAGAAGGCUUUUUAAGUAGAAAUCUCAUGUGUAAGAAGGCUCUUAGAAAAGGGAUCUCAUUUUGGCUAUAGUAGUUUAAGAAAGUUUUCUGAGUAGAGAUCUCAUCUGGCACUAGCAUCUGUGAAAAAAGAUCCCAGUUUGGUAUCUCAAUCUAUUUGGAUUACUUUGGAGAACACUCAUUGAGGAGGAAUCUCAAUUUAUGGCUAUUGCAUCUACAAGAAAGCUCAGAAUAUGGAUCUUAAAUCUGUUUAUAGCAUUUGUGGAGAAGGCUUUCUGAGUAGGGAUCUCAUGGGUGAGAAGACUCUCAGAAAAGGGAUCUCAUUUUGGCUAUAGUAGUUUAAGAAAGUUUUCUGAGCAUGGAUCUCAUCUGGCACUAGCAUCUGUGGGGAAGGCUCAUUAGUUUGGUAUAUCAGUUUGUUAUGGAUCACCUGGUGUUUUAGUUCGAUAUGUCUCGAACAAUUGUGAUUCAUCAGUUUGAUAUCUCAGUUUGUUAUGGAUCACUUGGUUUUACUUCUAUAUGUCUCGAACAGUUGUGAUUCGUCAGUUUGGUAUCUCAGUUUGUUUUGGAUCACCUGAUUUUUGGUUCAGUAUGUCUCGAACAAUUGUGAUUCAUCAGUUUGAUAUCUCAGUUUAUUAUGGAUCACCUGGUUUUAGUUCGAUAUAUCUCGAAUAGUUGUGAUUCAUUAGUUUGGUAUCUUAGUUUGUUUGAAUCACCUGAUUUUGGUUCGAUAUGCCUCGAACAGUUGUGAUUCGUCAAUUUGUUUGGAUCACCUGGUUUUGGUUCGAUAUGUCUCGAACAAUUGUGAUUCAACAAUAUGGUAUCUCAGUUUGUUUGGAUCAUCUGUUUUUUGGUUCGAUAUGUCUCGAACAAUUGUGAUUCAUUGAAGUCAGAAGAUCUCGGCAAAGUGGAACUACACAAGUGUCGAGAAGAUUGUGACUUUGGCGCCUAAAGGUGCAAAUGGAGGUAGCAUCUUUCUAGAAGAAGUUUACCAAAGUGGAGAUUGCUAUUUGAGAGAAAUUUCUCUCAAGGUGGAGAUUGUUGUUUGAGAGAAGUUCGCCAAGGUGGAGAUUAUUGAUAUUUGGCUUACUUCUCUAGCCCAAAUGGGCCCAAGCCCAAUACGAAGAAAUUAGUCCAUUUGAAGUCCAGCCCAAGAUGUUGAAGUCCAUCCCAUUUGUGAAGGCCCAAGCCCAACGUGGGGAUCCAUCCUAAUUGAAGCUUGAAGCCCAGGCCCAAUGGGAGUCCAACACUAUUGGGCCCAAGCCCAAGCCCAAACUCAAUGCUAUAUUUGAUGAUUUCUCCUGUCUAUGAAUGAAGGUCUUCGUUUGCUGCUGCAGCCAAUUUUGAAGUCUGCAAUGCUGUGUCUUCUUUAGCUGCUGCAAGUCUACCUCCAUUGUCAAGAAUGGAGGCUCCACCUUCUCUAUAUAAGGCUGUGUCCUAGAAUAGAGAAGGGAAGUGGGUCACAGAGAUGUAAGGAACUAGGGGCUGUGUAGCUCUCUGUGAGAGGUGUGAGCGAGAGAUUUAGCUGAGAGAUUGAGAGCUCUCUCCUUUGUUAUUCCUCUCUCUCUAUUUUCUGUAUUUUCUCUUGUAGUAUAUGAGAUAAAUCUGAGAGUGAGAGUGAAACUUUGUAUCUGUAUUUGUAUCUCUCCAUACAGUAAAAUCGCUGCCACCCGAGGACGUAGGCAGUAUUGCCGAACCUCAUAAAUCUGUGUGUUUAUAUUAUGUGGUUGUGGAUCUGUUAAUGUGGGUGAUUUGUGUAUGCUAUAGGUGGUUGAUUUCGGCACAACACACCGUUCACGUCGUACACUCUGAAAGCCUUUGCAAGAUCGUUCUCCAAGUUUUCACCCUCUUUACUUUGAUCACAAAAGUUUUGCUUAAUGACGGUGUCAUAAAAGAACAAAAAGUCAAGAAUAUUGAGGUUUGUUUUGCCCGCUAGUGACUCGAGCUCGUCUAGGCUAGUCUGAAUCCCAAUUUUUUCAAGAAGCCAUUUGAGCUCAUCGAGACUCACGAAACCAUCACCAUUUUGGUCGAGCUUAUUGAAAAUUCGAUGCAAGUCAUUGUUGUUAAAAAGAGACAUUGGUGGUGAACAGAUAUAAAAGAACACAAACAAUGACUAAUUAUUGGCUGUUGUACCUGCACACAUUCUACUUGG